UGGGAGUCCUCCACCCUGUAGCAAAGGAGAAGCAUCUGAGGGCACAAGCAGGGCAUGGCAGCAGUGGGGCAGAAGUGCAGCUAAUAGGUGGACAGGUUUGCAACCCUAUGACUCUUUUCAUACUCUCAGCAGUGGCUCACAAAGCCUUAAAGCCACAGUCAGUGUGUGCUGUUUUCCUAUUGCUUAGCCAGCAGUCUUUUCCCUUAUUCCACCCUCCAUAUCCUCCCACUGCCUGAGACUGAAAACUGCUAGGCAAGGACUCUCAAAAUAGGUCAUGUGCCCUCCCGCAAUGUCCUCGGUGUGGCUAGGAAGCCAUGGAUGUGCAGCAAGGUGGAUGAAAGCAAGGCAGGGAUGAGGUGCAGGCAGCACACACAGGAGACAAGGUAGUUUGGGUUGCUAGAAGCCACUGACCUGAGCUGACAUGUUUAGCAGGGACACCAAAAUAACAACAAAGAGCAAUAGAGAGAGAGGCUGAGAGGGGGCUUCGUGGCUCCAAGGUUCUCAGCCUUGGACUUUGUGCUCCAGCUCUGUCUGCUCUCUGUCUCCUGGCUGGAUCUUCCCAGUGUUGCUCCAUGUCCUGGCGCUGACACCCUACCUUCUCCCAGCUCCGAGUCCUGCUCUGACCCUGCCUGUCAGCAGCCACUUCCCCUUCCAAGCCUGCUCUCCUGGGAGAUGGGCCUUACUGUUUUGGGAACUAGCUUUGGGAAGCUGGAUUUCUCAGCGGCGAGCACCAUUACUCAAACUGGUCGCGGGCAAAAUCUGGCUUCUGCUGUCUGGAUGAGAACGCUUUCUGGUCACAGUGAAUUUGCCUGUGCGGCUGGAAUCCAGAUGUGCAAAUUUAUCAUCUACUUAACAGCAUGGAAAUUCAAGAUAAGUGCAACAGCAGUCUCCUCCUUGUCCGUACCAGGGGUCCCUCCUUUCAGCGUACCAACAUGCCUUCGUCAGUGUUUUCAGACUUUUCUCAAAGGUUAUUUGGAGACACUGCCUGCAAAAUAUUCUACGAAUGACAGAAGAAACUGUGGUAUAUGCUGACCAUGCCCUUCUAAAUA
This 1049-nucleotide long non-coding RNA is filed under the name Struthio camelus australis. RNAcentral describes it as "lncRNA (ENSSCUG00000014669.1)". The record is from RNAcentral. Lineage: Eukaryota; Metazoa; Chordata; Aves; Struthioniformes; Struthionidae.